AGUUCUGAUUAGACCCAGAACCAUAGAUACUGCAGUUCUGAUUAGACCCAGAACCAUAGAUCUAGUUCUGAUUAGACCCAGAACCAUAGAUCUAGUUCUGAUUAGACCCAGAACCAUAGAUCUAGUUCUGAUUAGACCCAGAACCAUAGAUCUAGUUCUGAUUAGACCCAGAACCAUAGAUCUAGUUCUGAUUAGACCCAGAACCAUAGAUCUAGUCCUGAUUAGACCCAGAACCAUACACAUAGUUCUGAUUAGACCCAGAACCAUAGAUACAGUUCCUAUUAUACCCUCUCUCCCCAAACAGUGUUAGAACUAUCAAUUUGAUAUCAUGGAUGGUCAGUCCUUGCAUCCAUAGCUCUGUCUUAUGAAUUUGAGAGUGUUUACAAAUCUCCAACCCCAUCCCUCAGCUUUUAACCAAAACAGUGGUGGGGUGGACACGUUAUUGUUUCAACUGCAGAUUGCCCCUUGACGGUCUGUUUAGAUAAAACCCAACCUUUAGAUUGUGCCUCCAAAGCAGCACUCCAGUCAACGUGACUGCUUGGUGCUUACGCUGCCCAAAUGGCCCCCUAUACUUACCCCACAUAGGACUCUGUUCAGAAGUAGUGCACUAUAUAGGGAAUAGGGCUCUGGUCUAUAGUAGUACCACUAUAUAGGGAAUAGGGCUCUGGUCUAUAGUAGUACCACUAUAUAGGGAAUAGGGCUCUGGUCUAUAGUAGUACCACUAUAUAGGGAAUAGGGCUCUGGUCUAUAGUAGUACCACUAUAUAGGGAAUAGGACUCUGGUCUAUAGUAGUACCACUAUAUAGGGAAUAGGGUUCUGGUCUAUAGUAGUACCACUAUAUAGGGAAUAGGGCUCUGGUCUAUAGUAGUACCACUAUAUAGGGAAUAGGGCUCUGGUCUAUAGUUGUACCACUAUAUAGGGGAUAAUAGGGUGCCAUUUUUCAUGCACACUUCGAUCCCAGUUUCAUUGAGACAGCCCCAACCACUUAAAUCCAUUGUGUUCAUAGAUAAAGCUCUGGUUUAAUUUAGUUUAGGAAAGGGAUCUUUUUAAAUCUGAUUGCCAAAUAAGGUGAUUUGUAUUUUGCGAUCUGAACAUGUACCCGCAGACAGAGAACCGUGUUGUUUUCAGACGGUCUCUUCUGUAGAUACCAUGUACCCGCAGACAGAGAACAGUGUUGUUUUCAGACGGUCUCUUCUGUAGAUACCAAGCCCUGCAGACAGAGAACAGUGUUGUUUUCAGACGGUCUCUUCUGUAGAUACCAUGUCGCGUGAGUCAUGUAGAACUUGUAUAAGCCUGUUUGGGGAACCCUGGGUUAGGGGCAGAACUUGUGUGUCGACAGUGAACAUACUUUAAUGGGUUGGGACAAGCGUUGAUCAUUUGAGUCAGCUGUGUAGUGCUCGGGGCAACAAAACCAAAUAAACCUGUGGACCGAGUUUGGAAAACCCUGGGUUGGGGGCAGAACUUGUGUGUAGAGAGUGAACAUACUUUAAUUGGCAGUACAUGAUAUAUAUUUUAAGACACACAGCUUUGUCUGUUCAUGUAGGUCUGGGUCAGAGAACGACUACUGUUGUCUAAUGUCCUCCUUCAUGUUGGUCUGGCUCAGAGAACGACUACUGUUGUCUAAUGUCCUCCUUCAUGUUGGUCUGGCUCAGAGAACGACUACUGUUGUCUAAUGUCCUCCUUCAUGUUGGUCUGGCUCAGAGAACGACUACUGUUGUCUAAUGUCCUCCUUCAUGUUGGUCUGGCUCAGAGAACGACUACUGUUGUCUAAUGUCCUGUUUCAUGUAGGUCUGGCUCAGAGAACGACUACUGUUGUCUAAUGUCCUGUUUCAUGUAGGUCUGGGUCAUGUUCAUAUUGGUGCAAAACAGAAGAAAAAAACCAGAGUGAAACAGUGAGGUACUUACCUGUCCAAUAAGAAACGCUCGUGUCAGUUUUUCCCCGUUGUGUUUCCUGAUGAACACAACACUGGUUUUGUUCUGUAGUAAUAUAUGUUGUAUUAAAGGACAAUAACACUGGUUUUGUUCUGUACUAAUAUAUGUUGUAUUAAAGGACAAUAACACUGGUUUUGUUCUGUACUAAUAUAUGUUGUAUUAAAGGACAA
This is a long non-coding RNA of Oncorhynchus tshawytscha (Chinook salmon), 2102 nucleotides long. Lineage: Eukaryota; Metazoa; Chordata; Actinopteri; Salmoniformes; Salmonidae. The record is from Ensembl.